UACGUAGGGGGCAAGCGUUGUCCGGAUUUAUUGGGCGUAAAGAGCGUGUAGGCGGUUUGGUAGGUCCGCUGUGAAAACUCGAGGCUUAACCUCGAGAUGUCGGCGGAAACCAUCUGGCUAGAGUCCGGAAGAGGAGAGUGGAAUUCCUGGUGUAGCGGUGAAAUGCGCAGAUAUCAGGAAGAACACCCGUGGCGAAGGCGGCUCUCUGGGACGGUACUGACGCUGAGACGCGAAAGCGUGGGGAGCGAACAGG
RNAcentral lists this ribosomal RNA (253 nucleotides) under uncultured bacterium. Its description in RNAcentral is "partial 16S ribosomal RNA". It matches the Rfam family "Bacterial small subunit ribosomal RNA", at positions 524 to 776 of the family's 1533-position model. The record is from RNAcentral.